RNAcentral lists this transfer RNA (73 nucleotides) under Camelus bactrianus (Bactrian camel). It matches the Rfam family "tRNA". Rfam says of the family: Transfer RNA (tRNA) molecules are approximately 80 nucleotides in length. RNAcentral also lists the same sequence under 2 other names. The record is from Rfam by way of RNAcentral. Lineage: Eukaryota; Metazoa; Chordata; Mammalia; Artiodactyla; Camelidae.
GAGGGUAGAGCUCAAGUGGUGGAGCACAUCCUUAGCAUGCACGAGGUCCUGGGUUCAAUCCCCAGUACCUCCA